This 299-nucleotide ribosomal RNA is filed under the name uncultured eukaryote. Its description in RNAcentral is "partial 18S ribosomal RNA". It matches the Rfam family "Eukaryotic small subunit ribosomal RNA", at positions 1470 to 1796 of the family's 1831-position model. The record is from RNAcentral.
CCCUUAGAUGCUCUGGGCCGCACGCGCGCUACAAUGAUUGUCUCAGCAUGUUUUGGGUGUGUAAAUACCCAGGAAUUCCGAGUAACAAUCGUGAUGGGGCUAGACCCUUGCAAUUUUUGGUCUCCAACGAGGAAUUCCUAGUAAAGGCAGGUCAUUAACCUGCCUUGAUUACGUCCCUGCCCUUUGUACACACCGCCCGUCGCACCUACCGAUUGAAUGGUCCGGUGAAAUCUCCAGACGUGGUUUUACCAUGAAAGCUGAUUGAAUCUUAUCAUUUAGAGGAAGGUGAAGUCGUAACA